RNAcentral lists this non-coding RNA (29 nucleotides) under Bombyx mori (domestic silkworm). The record is from RNAcentral. Lineage: Eukaryota; Metazoa; Arthropoda; Insecta; Lepidoptera; Bombycidae.
UCCGAGUCAGAGUCGGAGCACGAGGAGGC